UACAGAGGGUGCAAGCGUUAAUCGGAAUUACUGGGCGUAAAGCGUGCGUAGGCGGUUCGGUAAGUCAGGUGUGAAAUCUCCACGCUCAACGUGGAGGCGCCACCUGAAACUGCCGUGACUCGAGUCCGGUAGGGGAGUGUGGAAUUCCUGGUGUAGCGGUGAAAUGCGCAGAUAUCAGGAGGAACACCAGUGGCGAAGGCGGCACUCUGGGCCGGUACUGACGCUGAGGAGCGAAAGCGUGGGGAGCGAACAGG
RNAcentral lists this ribosomal RNA (254 nucleotides) under uncultured bacterium. RNAcentral describes it as "partial 16S ribosomal RNA". It matches the Rfam family "Bacterial small subunit ribosomal RNA", at positions 524 to 776 of the family's 1533-position model. The record is from RNAcentral.